GACGAACGCUGGCGGCGUGCUUAACACAUGCAAGUCGAACGGAAAGGCCCUGCUUUUGUGGGGUGCUCGAGUGGCGAACGGGUGAGUAACACGUGAGUAACCUGCCCUUGACUUUGGGAUAACUUCAGGAAACUGGGGCUAAUACCGGAUAGGAGCUCCUGCUUCAUGGUGGGGGUUGGAAGGUUUCGGCGGUUGGGGAUGGACUCGCGGCUUAUCAGCUUGUUGGUGGGGUAGUGGAUUACCAAGGCUUUGACGGGUAGCCGGCCUGAGCGGGUGACCGGCCACAUUGGGACGGAGAUGCGGCCCAGCCUCCUCCGGGAGGCAGCAGUGGGGAAUAUUGCACAAUGGGCGGAAGCCUGAUGCAGCAACGCCGCGUGCGGGAUGACGGCCUUCGGGUUGUAAACCGCUUUCGCCUGUGACGAAGCGUGAGUGACGGUAAUGGGUAAAGAAGCACCGGCUAACUACGUG
Molecule: ribosomal RNA, 468 nt
Filed under: uncultured bacterium
Lineage: Bacteria
Description: partial 16S ribosomal RNA
Rfam family: Bacterial small subunit ribosomal RNA
Source: RNAcentral